RNAcentral lists this ribosomal RNA (516 nucleotides) under uncultured bacterium. RNAcentral describes it as "bacterial SSU rRNA". It matches the Rfam family "Bacterial small subunit ribosomal RNA", at positions 28 to 504 of the family's 1533-position model. The record is from RNAcentral.
GACGAACGCUGGCGGCGUGCCUAAUACAUGCAAGUCGAGCGAGCUUGCCUAGAUGAUUUCAGUGCUUGCACUAAAUGAAACUAGAUACAAGCGAGCGGCGGACGGGUGAGUAACACGUGGGUAACCUGCCCAAGAGACUGGGAUAACACCUGGAAACAGAUGCUAAUACCGGAUAACAACACUAGACGCAUGUCUAGAGUUUGAAAGAUGGUUCUGCUAUCACUCUUGGAUGGACCUGCGGUGCAUUAGCUAGUUGAUAAGGUAACGGCUUACCAAGGCAAUGAUGCAUAGCCGAGUUGAGAGACUGAUCGGCCACAUUGGGACUGAGACACGGCCCUAACUCCUACGGGAGGCAGCAGUAGGGAAUCUUCCACAAUGGACGAAAGUCUGAUGGAGCAACGCCGCGUGAGUGAAGAAGGGUUUCGGCUCGUAAAGCACUGUUGGUAGUGAAGAAAGAUAGAGGUAGUAACUGGCCUUUAUUUGACGGUAAUUACUUAGAAAGUCACGGCUAACUAC